RNAcentral lists this ribosomal RNA (220 nucleotides) under uncultured archaeon. Its description in RNAcentral is "partial 16S ribosomal RNA". It matches the Rfam family "Archaeal small subunit ribosomal RNA", at positions 1142 to 1343 of the family's 1478-position model. The record is from RNAcentral.
UCAGUCAGUAUGCCCCGAAACCCUCGGGCCACACGCGGGCUGCAAUGGUAAGGACAAUGAGUUCCUAUUCCGAAAGGAGGAGGUAAUCUCCAAACCUUACCUCAGUUAUGAUUGAGGGCUGCAACUCGCCCUCAUGAAUAUGGAAUCCCUAGUAACCGCGUGUCACAAUCGCGCGGUGAAUACGUCCCUGCUCCUUGCACAACCUCCAACCCGUCCCUGC